CAUUUUAUUUCUUUGUGUUUCUGCUUGUCUCUGUUCCAUUGGUAUAUAAUGUACUUGUUUUAGGGUAUGUCCUGGACAAGAGUCACAGAGAAGCCAACUGACAGUUUGGAAUCCAUCAUCCAUCUUCUGAUCCCACUUUUCCCAGUUCGGGGUAGAGGAGCAGGGUGCCCUUCCGUUCCACAGCACACUAACGUGCAUGUCCUCAUGGGCAAAUCUAAAGGAGUCUCUCAUCCUGACAUGUGCUUACAUGGACUGUGGGUGGAAAGCUGAGUGAAAGAAGCUGAGAUAGAAGGCAAUGCACCAUGAAACUGCAUAUUCUUUAUGUUGAGAACCACUGGCCAAACUGAAUCCUAACCACUGCUCUGACAGCAAACAGGCCUCAAUUCAGUAGAAGCUGAUGGCCUUCAUCAUGGUUACUUUUUAAUGUGUGAGAUAGAACACGAGAAAUUCUGCCUGUGUCUGAUUACAUCACUUCCUGUCCAGGCCUCUAGGACGUCACUUCCUGCUCAGCCCCGAUGACAUCACUUCCCUUGGACCGCCUCAAAAACCCUCCAUUCCCCCUACUUGGACAGUUCUGUUUUGGACUCUAACCUGUACACAUUGUAUGCAAAUUUAUGUAUAUGUAUUUGCACAUGUAUUAUGAGACUGAGUAGAUCGAUUUAGCCAUAUCCUUACACAGGUGCUGCUUGAACAUAUGAGACAAGGACCAGUGUGGCUCAGAAUGCACCUCUUUGCAAGCAAGUGUCUCAGACUAAUCAUUCAAUGAACAAAUCAAAUAUUAUUAAGAUAAGAGUGCUUUACAUCAAUCCUACUUCCAAUCUCCUCACUUGGUUGUAGGCAAAAGGAGCCUAUCCUGCCAUCAUCUGUUACAAGCCAGGAACCAAUGGUGUCUGUAACGCAAGGCUAUUGCAGGUUAGAGUUACCCACACACGUUAAUGCCAGGGCUCUUUAGUGGCAAAAAUAAGCCUGAUACACAUGUCUUUGAGACAUGGGAGGAAAACCAGAGUAGCAAGGGUCUAAGGCUCUAGAGCUGUGAGGCAGCAGCAUUAACCAAUCUGAUAUAUUGUCCCCUACCAGAAUUAAAUAUAAAAACAAAUGAAAUUCAGUUACAAAAAUGAAUCUUAAAGUAGAAAAGCAGACUGUAAAUAGUGAGAAGAAGACGGCACACUCUGACAGAAAAGAAAUCGAAGAGCUGUUAGGGGCUGAAUGGCCUGUUCUCAUAAAAAUAGGCUUCAUUAAAAAUGAAGACUUUUAGAGCUUAAAGCGGACUUUGUAGGUGAUAACACAGAGCCUUACUUGAAUAUCAGACCCAGUGAUUCAAAAAUGUUUGAGGAAAUUAGGGUAGAAACAAGAGCCCAGAAUGACAGAAAGAAUGAGCCGAUGCACUGUGGAGACUCUGCUAAAAUUCUGCACCAACUUAUCAGGGAGAGUGAAGGAGAACUAGCAUGUAGAAAACGUGUAGUGCUGCUGCCAUAGAAUACAGGAAGGCACCAGAGAUGGCUGGGUAACAUUCUGAUCACGACGGUCGUGAUUACGAAAGAGUCAUUCCUGGAACUGCUUAAUCAUAACUUCGUGUGUCCAGAGGCAUAGCUAGGGUUUUCAACGCCCAGGGACAACUGAAGAUUUUGCGCCCCCUCCUGUUUGUCAAAAUGAAUGGGGAAGGGAAAGAAAAUUU
Molecule: long non-coding RNA, 1675 nt
Organism: Polypterus senegalus (gray bichir)
Lineage: Eukaryota; Metazoa; Chordata; Cladistia; Polypteriformes; Polypteridae
Exons: 3
Source: RefSeq, a predicted model, not a curated record